AUACGUAGGUGGCGAGCGUUGUCCGGAUUUACUGGGUGUAAAGGGCGUGUAGGCGGAAUGGCAAGUCAGAUGUGAAAUACGGGAGCUUAACUCCCGGGCUGCAUUUGAAACUGCUGUUCUUGAGUGAUGGAGAGGUAAGCGGAAUUCCCGGUGUAGCGGUAAAAUGCGUAGAUAUCGGGAGGAACACCAGUGGCGAAGGCGGCUUACUGGACAUUAACUGACGCUGAGGCGCGAAAGUGUGGGGAGCGAACAGGAUUAGAUACCCUGGUAGUCCACACUGUAAACGAUGGAUACUAGGUGUGGGGGGACUGACCCCUUCCGUGCCGGAGUCAACACAAUAAGUAUCCCACCUGGGGAGUACGGUCGCAAGAUUAAA
Molecule: ribosomal RNA, 376 nt
Filed under: uncultured bacterium
Lineage: Bacteria
Description: bacterial SSU rRNA
Rfam family: Bacterial small subunit ribosomal RNA
Source: RNAcentral